This 1349-nucleotide ribosomal RNA is filed under the name metagenome. Its description in RNAcentral is "bacterial LSU rRNA". It matches the Rfam family "Bacterial large subunit ribosomal RNA", at positions 1564 to 2925 of the family's 2925-position model. The record is from RNAcentral.
UGAGUGCGAGCUGCUACGGCAGCGAAGUUGGUGAUGUCAAGCUUCCAAGAAAAGCCCUAUACCCGUUAAGGCAUGAUUGCCUGUACCCGAAACCGACACAGGUGGGGUGGUAGAGAAUACCGAGGGGCGCGAGGUAACUCUCUCUAAGGAACUCGGCAAAAUGACCCCGUAACUUCGGGAGAAGGGGUGCCACCGCAAGGUGGUCGCAGUGAAUAGGCCCAGGCGACUGUUUACCAAAAACACAGGUCUCCGCUAAGUCGCAAGACGAUGUAUGGGGGCUGACGCCUGCUCAGUGCCGGAAGGUUAAGGAAGUUGGUCAGCGAAAGCGAAGCUAGCGACUGAAGCCCCGGUGAACGGCGGCCGUAACUAUAACGGUCCUAAGGUAGCGAAAUUCCUUAUCGGGUAAGUUCCGACCCGCACGAAAGGCGUAACGAUCUGGGCGCUGUCUCGGAGAGAGGCUCGGCGAAAUAGAAUUGUCUGUGAAGAUGCGGACUACGUGCACCUGGACAGAAAGACCCUAUGAAGCUUUACUGUAGCUUGGUAUUGUGUCCGGGCUCUGAAUGCGCAGGAUAGGUGGGAGGCUUUGAUCCAUUGCUUGCGGGUGAUGGUGAGCCAACGGUGAGAUACCACUCUUUCAGAGCUAGGAUUCUAACGGUCACCCGUCAUCCGGGGACCGGACAGUAUCUGGUGGGCAGUUUGACUGGGGCGGUCGCCUCCUAAAAGGUAACGGAGGCGCGCAAAGGUCUGCUCAGGCUGGUUGGAAAUCAGCCGACGAGUGCAAAAGCAGAAGCAGGCUUGACUGUGAGACCUACAAGUCGAACAGGGGGGAAACCCGGCUUUAGUGAUCCGACGGUUCUGAGUGGAAGGGCCGUCGCUCAACGGAUAAAAGUUACUCUAGGAUAACAGGCUGAUCUCCCCCAAGAGUUCACAUCGACGGGGAGGUUUGGCACCUCGAUGUCGGCUCAUCGCAACCUGGGGCUGAAGUCGGUCCCAAGGGUUGGGCUGUUCGCCCAUUAAAGCGGUACGCGAGCUGGGUUCAGAACGUCGUGAGACAGUUCGGUCCAUAUCCGGUGCAUGCGCAGGAAUAUUGAGAGGAUUUCUCCCUAGUACGAGAGGACCGGGAGGAACGCACCUCUGGUGUACCAGUUAUCGUGCCAACGGUAAACGCUGGGUAGCCAUGUGCGGAGUGGAUAACCGCUGAAAGCAUCUAAGUGGGAAGCCCACCUCAAGAUGAGUAUUCCCAUGGCGUUAGCCAGUAAGGUCACGGGCAGAACACCUGUUGAUAGGCUCUACGUGGAAGCGCAGUAAUGUGUGAAGCGGAGGAGUACUAAUAGACCGAGGGCUUGACC